RNAcentral lists this ribosomal RNA (1262 nucleotides) under Meliboeus sinae. RNAcentral's name for it is "16S ribosomal RNA". The stretch from base 1022 to 1180 matches the Rfam family "Archaeal large subunit ribosomal RNA", at positions 2542 to 2701 of the family's 2987-position model. Lineage: Eukaryota; Metazoa; Arthropoda; Insecta; Coleoptera; Buprestidae. The record is from RNAcentral.
AUUUAAAUAAUUAUAUAUUUUAUUUUUAAAAUUAUUUGUUUUUUUAGUAUGGGGAAAAAAUUUUUUUUUUAUAGAUUAUUAGUACUGUGAGGGAAAUUUGAAAUAUAUUGAAAAUUAAAAUUUUUUAAAGAAAAAUUAAUUUUUUGUACCUUGUGUAUCAGGGUUUACUAAAAUUAGGUUAAUUAUUUAAUUUUCCCGAAUCUUUGAGAGCUAAAGGUUUAUUUAUUUUAAUGUUUAAUAAUUAUUUAAAAUUUUCUUUUAGUAAUGAAAUGUUAUUCGUUCUGGGAGAUAUCUGGUUUCUUUGGAAAAAAAUUAAAUUUUAUUGUUAUAAUGGUUCUAUUUAUAUUUUAUAUAGAAUUAUUUAACUUUAAGUGUUUUGGGGGAAAAGCUUCAAUUCAAAUUGUUAAAAAUUAUUAUUCUUUUAAAAUUAAUAGGAUUAGAAAUUUUCAUUUAAUGAGUAUGUUAUAAUUUAUUUUGAUAGAUUGAAAUUUUUUUGUUUUUAAUUUUUUACAAAGAUUUAUUUAAAAAUUUACUUAUUUUAAAUAAUGGUUGAAUUAGUAUAAUAAUUUGUUUAAAUUAUAUUUUUAAAAGUUAUUUUUAAGGAAUUCGGCAAAUAUUUUAUUCGCCUGUUUAAUAAAAACAUGGCCUUAUGAUAAUAAUUUUAGGUUUAAUCUGCUCAAUGAUAAUUUAAAUAGCCGCGAUAUUCUGAUCGUGCGAAGGUAGCAUAAUCAUUAGUUUCUUAAUUAGAAGCUGGUAUGAAUGAUUGGACGAGAUAAAUUCUGUCUCAUUAAUAAUUUUAGAAUUUUAUUUUUGAGUUAAAAAGCUUAAAUUUUUUAAAAAGACGAGAAGACCCUAUAGAGUUUUAUGGAUAAUUUUUUAAUAGUUUUUGGUAUAGAUAAUUUUUAAUUUUGAUUUCAUUUGGUUGGGGUGACUGAAAAAUUUAAUAAACUUUUUUUAAAAUAAAUACAGAUUUGUAAAUUUUUGAUUUAUAAAAAUAAUUAUAAGAUUAAAUUACCUUAGGGAUAACAGCGUUAUUUUUCUUGAGAGUUCAUAUCGACAGAAUAGUUUGCGACCUCGAUGUUGGAUUAAAAUUUAAUUUAGGUGUAGAAGCUUAAAUUUUUAGUCUGUUCGACUAUUAAAAUUUUACAUGAUCUGAGUUUAAACCGGCGUGAGCCAGGUUGGUUUCUAUCUUUUAUUGUUUACAAUAUUUUAGUACGAAAGGACCAAAUAUUGUCCAAAAUAGGUUAAUUUUGAAUGUUAGU